AUUGAACGCUGGCGGCAUGCUUUACACAUGCAAGUCGAACGGCAGCGCGGGCUUCGGCCUGGCGGCGAGUGGCGAACGGGUGAGUAAUACAUCGGAACGUGCCCAGUAGUGGGGGAUAGCUCGGCGAAAGCCGGAUUAAUACCGCAUACGACCUGUGGGUGAAAGCGGGGGAACUUCGGACCUCGCGCUAUUUGAGCGGCCGAUGGCAGAUUAGCUAGUUGGUGGGGUAAAGGCCUACCAAGGCGACGAUCUGUAGCUGGUCUGAGAGGACGACCAGCCACACUGGGACUGAGACACGGCCCAGACUCCUACGGGAGGCAGCAGUGGGGAAUUUUGGACAAUGGGCGAAAGCCUGAUCCAGCAAUGCCGCGUGUGUGAUGAAGGCCUUCGGGUUGUAAAGCACUUUUGGCGGGAACGAAAAGGACUGUGCCAAUACCACGGUUCGAUGACGGUACCCGCAGAAUAAGCACCGGCUAACUACGUG
This 484-nucleotide ribosomal RNA is filed under the name uncultured bacterium. Its description in RNAcentral is "partial 16S ribosomal RNA". It matches the Rfam family "Bacterial small subunit ribosomal RNA", at positions 29 to 507 of the family's 1533-position model. The record is from RNAcentral.